GUAGUCAUAUGCUUGUCUCAAAGAUUAAGCCAUGCAUGUCUAAGUAUAAGCAAUUACAAAGCGAAACUGCGAAUGGCUCAUUAUAUAAGUUAUCGUUUAUUUGAUAGUACCUUACUACAUGGAUAACCGUGGUAAUUCUAGAGCUAAUACAUGCUGAAAAUCCCGACUUCGGAAGGGAUGUAUUUAUUAGAUACAAAACCAAUGCCCUUCGGGGCUCUCUUGGUGAUUCAUGAUAACUUCUCGAAUCGCACGGCCCCGCGCCGGCGAUGGUUCAUUCAAAUUUCUUCCCUAUCAACUUUCGAUGCUACGGUAUUGUCCUAGCAUGGUUGCAACGGGUGACGGAGGGUUAGGGCUCGACCCCGGAGAAGGAGCCUGAGAAACGGCUACUACAUCCAAGGAAGGCAGCAGGCGCGCAAAUUACCCAAUCCCGACUCGGGGAGGUAGUGACGAUAAAUACCGAUACAGGGCUCUUUUGGGUCCUGUAAUUGGAAUGAGUACAAUUC
RNAcentral lists this ribosomal RNA (503 nucleotides) under uncultured fungus. RNAcentral describes it as "SSU rRNA". It matches the Rfam family "Eukaryotic small subunit ribosomal RNA", at positions 20 to 526 of the family's 1831-position model. Lineage: Eukaryota; Fungi. The record is from RNAcentral.